RNAcentral lists this ribosomal RNA (465 nucleotides) under uncultured bacterium. Its description in RNAcentral is "partial 16S ribosomal RNA". It matches the Rfam family "Bacterial small subunit ribosomal RNA", at positions 28 to 506 of the family's 1533-position model. The record is from RNAcentral.
GAUGAACGCUGGCGGCGUGCUUAACACAUGCAAGUCGAACGAUGAAGCCCAGCUUGCUGGGUGGUUUAGUGGCGAACGGGUGAGUAACACGUGAGUAACCUGCCCUUGACUCUGGGAUAAGCCUGGGAAACUGGGUCUAAUACUGGAUAUGACUUCUCAUCGCAUGGUGGGGGGUGGAAAGAUUUAUUGGUCUUGGAUGGACUCGCGGCCUAUCAGCUUGUUGGUGAGGUAAUGGCUCACCAAGGCGAGGACGGGUAGCCGGCCUGAGAGGGUGACCGGCCACACUGGGACUGAGACACGGCCCAGACUCCUACGGGAGGCAGCAGUGGGGAAUAUUGCACAAUGGGCGCAAGCCGGAUGCAGCGACGCCGCGUGGGGGAUGACGGCCUUCGGGUUGUAAACCUCUUUCAGUAGGGAAGAAGCGAGAGGGACGGUACCUGCAGAAGAAGCGCCGGCAAACUACGU